RNAcentral lists this ribosomal RNA (253 nucleotides) under uncultured bacterium. Its description in RNAcentral is "partial 16S ribosomal RNA". It matches the Rfam family "Bacterial small subunit ribosomal RNA", at positions 524 to 776 of the family's 1533-position model. The record is from RNAcentral.
UACGGGGGGGGCAAGCGUUGUUCGGAAUUACUGGGCGUAAAGGGCUCGUAGGCGGUCUGUUGCGUCGGGAGUGAAAACUCAGGGCUUAACCCUGAGCCUGCUUCCGAUACGGGCAGACUAGAGGUAUGCAGGGGAGAACGGAAUUCCUGGUGUAGCGGUGAAAUGCGCAGAUAUCAGGAAGAACACCUAUGGCGAAAGCAGCUCUCUGGGACGGUACUGACGCUGAGACGCGAAAGCGUGGGGAGCGAACAGG